This 253-nucleotide ribosomal RNA is filed under the name uncultured bacterium. Its description in RNAcentral is "partial 16S ribosomal RNA". It matches the Rfam family "Bacterial small subunit ribosomal RNA", at positions 524 to 776 of the family's 1533-position model. The record is from RNAcentral.
UACGAAGGGGGCUAGCGUUGCUCGGAAUCACUGGGCGUAAAGGGCGCGUAGGCGGCUUAUCAAGUCGGGGGUGAAAGCCCGUGGCUCAACCACGGAAUGGCCUUCGAUACUGGUAGGCUUGAGACCGGAAGAGGACAGCGGAACUGCGAGUGUAGGGGUGAAAUUCGUAGAUAUUCGCAAGAACACCAGUGGCGAAGGCGGCUGUCUGGUCCGGUUCUGACGCUGAGGCGCGAAAGCGUGGGGAGCAAACAGG